Molecule: ribosomal RNA, 484 nt
Filed under: Listeria monocytogenes
Lineage: Bacteria; Bacillati; Bacillota; Bacilli; Caryophanales; Listeriaceae
Description: bacterial SSU rRNA
Rfam family: Bacterial small subunit ribosomal RNA
Source: RNAcentral
CUAUCGCUUACAGAUGGGCCCGCGGUGCAUUAGCUAGUUGGUAGGGUAAUGGCCUACCAAGGCAACGAUGCAUAGCCGACCUGAGAGGGUGAUCGGCCACACUGGGACUGAGACACGGCCCAGACUCCUACGGGAGGCAGCAGUAGGGAAUCUUCCGCAAUGGACGAAAGUCUGACGGAGCAACGCCGCGUGUAUGAAGAAGGUUUUCGGAUCGUAAAGUACUGUUGUUAGAGAAGAACAAGGAUAAGAGUAACUGCUUGUCCCUUGACGGUAUCUAACCAGAAAGCCACGGCUAACUACGUGCCAGCAGCCGCGGUAAUACGUAGGUGGCAAGCGUUGUCCGGAUUUAUUGGGCGUAAAGCGCGCGCAGGCGGUCUUUUAAGUCUGAUGUGAAAGCCCCCGGCUUAACCGGGGAGGGUCAUUGGAAACUGGAAGACUGGAGUGCAGAAGAGGAGAGUGGAAUUCCACGUGUAGCGGUGAAAUG